GUAGUGAACCUGCGGAAGGAUCAUUA
This 26-nucleotide ribosomal RNA is filed under the name Umbilicaria spodochroa. RNAcentral describes it as "partial 18S ribosomal RNA". RNAcentral also lists the same sequence under 1 other name. The record is from RNAcentral. Lineage: Eukaryota; Fungi; Ascomycota; Lecanoromycetes; Umbilicariales; Umbilicariaceae.